AAGUCGUAACAAGGUUUCCGUAGGUGAACCUGCGGAAGGAUCAUUACUGAGAGAGGGGCCUCGCGCUCCCGGGGGCUCCGGCCCCCAACUCUUCACCCGUGUGUACCUAACUAUGUUGCUUUGACGGGCCUCGAGAGACCUCUUUCGCGCCGGCGCCUCGGCCCGGCGAGCGCCCGUCAGAUGCCCACUAAAUACUGCUUAUCAGUGUUGUCCGAGUACCAUAAACAAUAUAAUAAAAACUUUCAACAACGGAUCUCUUGGUUCCA
This 266-nucleotide unclassified non-coding RNA is filed under the name air metagenome. RNAcentral describes it as "partial contains small subunit ribosomal RNA, internal transcribed spacer 1, and 5.8S ribosomal RNA". The stretch from base 1 to 46 matches the Rfam family "Eukaryotic small subunit ribosomal RNA", at positions 1786 to 1831 of the family's 1831-position model. The record is from RNAcentral.